Molecule: long non-coding RNA, 4231 nt
Organism: Setaria italica (foxtail millet)
Lineage: Eukaryota; Viridiplantae; Streptophyta; Magnoliopsida; Poales; Poaceae
Exons: 4
Source: RefSeq, a predicted model, not a curated record
AGGCCCCCCAAGCUCGCCUCGUGGCUCAUCCCCUUCGCGCGGCCACCCCUGCUCGUUGCUGCCGGGGGAGAGCCCGUGCUCUAAGCUACCCCUCCCACUCACCUCUCAGGAUUCCUCAAUAGCUAGCAACCUGCCAACCAGUUUCUUUCUUUUUCUUCCUCCAAAUUAGCAAGCAACAGGUCAAAUAUAAUCAGCAGCACACCUCUUCUCUGUUCUUCUGUCCACCAUAAUUGCAGCAGCAACCAGUAGUUCUCCCUUCUUCCUGCCGGCAAGCACAACGAGCUGAUCAGGAACCCAGCUAACCUUCUCUCCCUCCAAUAGCAGCAUGCUAAAUCCAUCUCAAAAAUCCCCAAGCUCCAACAUCACCACCAUGACCUCAUCUCUUUCCAUCGAUUCUUGCUGGACCUCCAACCAAAGCACGACAUCUCUUGAGCUUCUCCUCCUACCCGAGCCACAAAUCCAGCAUGGGCUCCUCCCAACCCAUCUCCCUCAUGGGCAAUUCAAGCCAUGGCCUGCACCUCUGCUCCUCUCAAUCACAUAGCUGCUGAGUUGGGGCAGAUGCCACAGGAUGAGCCAGUCGAAGGUGACACAGAUGCGAAUGUUGACUGGGGAGGCGGAGGUGGGGAACACAAGGACGAGCAGCACGGGGGAAGGGAAGGCACACCCUGCCCUAUCCCGGCUGCCGGCAGUCUCCUGCUCCACGCAAGGAAGGGGCGUGCCGUCCUCUCCUUCUUCCACAUUCUUCUCCUCUGCCUACGCCUAACCUUGGUGAGCAAGCUCCGCUCGCCAGUGAAAUCCUGACGACUUCCUACACCAAAACCAAAUCCUUCCGGCUAACAGAUCCUACACCUCCUCAUCAUCCGCCUCGACUCAUCUGCGCUACUCGCCGUUCCCUCACCAUGCAGGAAUUGAAGCUUUUCCAUCCGCUGAGCCCCACCGAGCACACCUCAACCAUUGGUGACACUUGCGGAGGUGGCGGCGGUGGCAAAAUGCGACGGCACGGGCAGGCCAGCCACGCUGCGGGCUCGCGCGAAAGCCGAAUGGAGGCUGGAGCAAGCGCCGGUUUGGCCGGGCCCAGGUGAUGCGGCCGCGCGGGGUGGGUGGUGUCGGCGGGCGGUCCACGGCGCGAGGCGGCAGCCGGCGGACGGUGCAUCUGCGCAGGGCGGGCGGUGACGGCGUAGAGGGGCAGCCGGGCUGGGGACGCGCCGGCGGCGGAUGGAGGUAGCCCGGCGGGAACGUGCAUGGGAAGAGGUCGGGCAGGCAGAUUGGGGAAGACUGCGCGUCGCAAAUAUAUGCAGGGUGAUGGGGUGUGUUUUCGCGUCGUGAAAAAAUUGGAAAGGUUUGGGGAACUGUUGGAGUGCCUUUUUUUCAAUGUUCCCCCUAAAGAAGUUAUUAGGAGUGAGAUAGAGAUACUCUUGGAGUUGCUCUGAGACGACGAUCUACAAGGGAAGGGAAGGGGAUCCAAACUGCAAAAACAGGAAAGGGGCAUAUAUUUUUGGGAAAAAGAGAAGUGCAGAGGGGUUUAGAAAAAAAACCGAGAAGGGCUUCACUGCAAUUUUCUCGUCUAUAAUUCAAGCAGAUAGAGAAAUAUCCUAUGCUUUCUUGUUACCAUAUAUUAGUAGCAUCAUCCUCUCUUACAGUUCCUGUGCAUUUAACUAUUCGCGAAUCCUACCCCGAGAGGGGUCUCCCGUUUGCGUUAAGCCGACAGCCCUACUCAUCUUCGUCUGUUUUGGAUUGGACGCGCACGCUGCGCUCGCGGAAACGACGGGACGCGCUCGCUCCGCGAGCGGAGUCGCGCCGAGGAGAGAAUCUCAUCCUCCCUUCUCCUCUUUCCCCUUCCGCGGCCUCCCCCGUGUUCGUCCUAUCCAACGGUGAGGCCAGGCGAUGGUGGUCGACGGCCGGCGAGGGAGGGAGGCCACACGCCGAGAAUCUCCGGGCGGCGGCGACGCACGGCCAACAGAGGAAGGCUUCACUCCGCGGCACUCCAUUCGCCGCGAAUCUCCGGCGAGUGGCGGCGCGCGUAGAGCGGAGCGGCCGUCACACGCAGCGAGCAGAGGGGAGCCUACACUCGCAAACGGAGGGAGGCGACGAGCUCGGGUCUGCUACCCCCGCUCCCUGUAUCUCUUCUCCACACCCUCGCCGUGAUUCAAAUCGCGGCGGUGCCGUCCACUACGAGGCGUAGCAGCAAACGGAGGGAGGCGACGCGAGGUUCUUCGUUGAGCCGAGGGCGUGCGUGGAGCUGCUACCCCUGCGUCCUGAACGACUCCUCGCCCCUCGCUGUCGACUACGCGCCAUAGCAGGGCCAGCCAUUCAAUCAGCCGACGACCCGAGUCAGCAUUCAAGUAGUAUUGUCAACAACCAGUGUUUGUCACAUUUCAACAGGUAUGACACAAUUACUUUACCUUUCCCAAUCAUUUAGUUUGUUUAAAGUUACAAAACUUAAAUAAAUAUUGCUAGCAGUAGCUUUAGUUUUUUCUGAGUGGGGUGCUGAGUUGCAUGAUGAGUCUUUAAUUGGGGUCUAAAAAUCCAACGGAGCUGGUAUGCAGUAUGUGGGAGUGAGACUCUCUCACCACUGGAUACCCAGUAAUUCCUGGUUUGGUGGCCCCUUGAUGCAUGCAAGCUUAGCACCUACACUUUUUUAUAGCUCACUUAUUUGUUUUAAUUUCCAUUAUUCAUGAACUUGUUCUGAUAUCAUCAUUCCUAUAUUUUGUCACAUUUUCGAGGUGCAUCCAAGUCCGUGACACCUCAUAUUGGGGUAGUGCAGCAGCAUUCUACUUUUGACAUCAGCUGACCGUUCAUAUACGUAGUAUGCCACAACCAUGCACAAUUUUUUUUCCCAUUUUUUAUUGUGAUCUAGUUAAUAUAUUCCUUAUUUCAAGUAACUUGUCUUUUUAUUUGAAGUCACCAAUUUUGCUAUUUCACAUAAUUUUUAUGGAAGCAACUAAUUCUAUAUUUAUAUUACAUAGGAAGUACCUAAGCAUAUAUUCAAUGACACAAGAAGUAACUACUUCUGUAUUUUUAUUACUUAGGAUGUAACUUACCAUAUAGUCAGUCACAUAAUAAGUAACUUGCCAGACUUGUUUCAUAUUUGCGUGCUUAAUGUUGAUAACAAAACACUAUCUGUUUUCUGCUGAUAUAACCAAAGUUAUUCUGUUUUCGUAACAGACAAAGACCAUUAGAGUUGGCAUUCAAGAUCACAAGGGAGCUACUGCAUGCACUUGACUCAAUUUCGAUGAAAUUUGUUUAUUAAUCCCACUGAUUAAAGUCAUCCUUUUUGCUUUCUGCAUCCAGUAGACUAUAAUUCCUGCUAGCCAUGUGCUGUUGUCGGUCUAGGAUGAGUUUUGGUAGUUUCCUGUUCUAUUUUCCCAUACUAUAUUUUGUCUGUCACUGCCAUUUGUCAUAAAAAGCUGCAAUUACCUCACUGCCAUUGCACUAUUCUUUUUUUGCUAAUGACCUUAACUUACUAUAGGAAGUAACUUUACCACAUAUGCAGUCUCAUAAGAAAUAACUAAUUCUGUAUUUAUAUUCCAUACAGAGUAACUUACCACAUAUGCAAUAUCAUAAGAUGUAACUAAUUCUGCAUUUAUAUUCCAUACAAAGUAACUUACCACAUAUGCAGUAUCAUAAGAAGCAACUAAUUCUGUAUUUAUAUUCCAUACAAAGUAACUUACCACAUAUGCAGUCACAUAUCAUUUCAACCAUUUAGUUAGUAUCUAGCCAUCUAUUCACAUCAAUAUGAUGCAACCAGCCCCUAUUUUUUUUGAAACAUGCAUGAUGUAAGUAGCCAUUUAUUUACAUGACAUAUGAAGUAUAGUCAAGUUCCUCUGCUUUUUUAUGAUUUUUGCAGUUGCAUCCAAGGCAGCAUCAGUGCAUAUUUUUUGUGUUAGCUGUGUGUUCUCGACAACCUGUGUUUGUCACAUAUUCAACAGGUGCAUCUAAGUCAGCGACAGCUCAUAUCGGGGGUGGUGCAGCGUCAUCUACCUUGUCAUCAAGUGACCGUUCAUAUCCGUAGGGAUAGAGAUCUAAAUCUCAAGUACAAGGAGUUACCGGAUGCAAGGACUUCAUGUUUAAGCAAUAAAAAAACAAGGCUUUUUUGUGUGUAUGGGCAAUAAAAAACAAUACUUCAUGUUACAGGAUGCACGAUUAUGAACCACUCAUAAAUCUGAUUGAUGUAACUAUUUUUUUUUUCAGUCCCAAUCUGGGAGAUCAGCUGUUGGAUGUUUAUGUUUCA